Molecule: ribosomal RNA, 780 nt
Filed under: uncultured eukaryote
Lineage: Eukaryota
Description: bacterial SSU rRNA
Rfam family: Eukaryotic small subunit ribosomal RNA
Source: RNAcentral
AUAAACGAUGCCAACCAGCAAUCCGCCCGAGUUCCUCAAAACGACUCGGCGGGCAGCUUCCGGGAAACCAAAGUUUUUGGGUUCCGGGGGAAGUAUGGUUGCAAAGCUGAAACUUAAAGGAAUUGACGGAAGGGCACCACCAGGAGUGGAGCCUGCGGCUUAAUUUGACUCAACACGGGAAAACUUACCCGGCCCGGACACCGGAAGGAUUGACAGAUUAAUAGCUCUUUCUUGAUUCGGUGGGUGGUGGUGCAUGGCCGUUCUUAGUUGGUGGAGUGAUUUGUCUGGUUAAUUCCGAUAACGAACGAGACUCUAGCCUACUAAAUAGACCCACGGUCCGAAGUACCGUGAUCGGGUCUUCUUAGAGGGACAGGCGGCUUUUAGCCGCACGAAACGGAGCAAUAACAGGUCUGUGAUGCCCUUAGAUGUCCGGGGCCGCACGCGCGCUACACUGAAGGAAUCAACGUGUGUCUACCCUGGUCCGAGAGGACUGGGUAACCCCGUGAACCUUCUUCGUGCUAGGGAUAGGGGAUUGUAAUUAUUCCCCUCGAACGAGGAAUUCCCAGUAAGCGCGAGUCAUCAGCUCGCGUUGAUUACGUCCCUGCCCUUUGUACACACCGCCCGUCGCUACUACCGAUUGAAUGAUUUAGUGAGGCCUUCGGACCGGUGCAUCGAGUGGCUUCUGUCACUCACUGCGUUGGGAAGAUGGCCGAACUUGAUCAUUUAGAGGAAGUAAAAGUCGUAACAAGGUUGCCGUAGGUGAACCUGCAGAAGGAUCAA